RNAcentral lists this ribosomal RNA (1881 nucleotides) under Triticum aestivum (bread wheat). RNAcentral's name for it is "partial small subunit ribosomal RNA". The record is from RNAcentral. Lineage: Eukaryota; Viridiplantae; Streptophyta; Magnoliopsida; Poales; Poaceae.
AUGCAACAAGCUGGGCCUGGUUAUGUUUCUGUUGCAACUCGAAUGCUUUCUCAGAGGACAACAGCUCUGGAGCAGGAUAUUGAGAUCCUUCAGAAGAAGUUAAGUGGAUGCUUAAGAGAGAACCAAAAUUUGCAAGAGGAGCUUGCUGAGGCUUAUCGAGUUAAGAGCCAGCUUGCUGAUUUAUAUGGUGCUGAGCUAUCAAAGACCAAGGAGCUAGAGCAGCAAGUGAGGUUUUUCCAGAGCAGCGUUGCUCAAGCAUUUGCUGAACGAGAUGGUUCAUUGUUGGAGUGUGAGAAAGCAAAGGAGCGAGAAGAAGCAGGGUUAAAAAUGUGCGCUACCUUUGAGGAAAGGACGAGAGAAUAUCAAACUGCAAUGGAAGAUCAGAAACGUUUGAACGAUGCCCUGCAAAUGGAGCUGACAGAACUAAAAGCGCAUACAGAAUCUUCCUUGAAUGUUGUUAAAAAAUUCUAUGAAGUUCGUUCCAGGGAAUGUGAAUGCCCUUCAAACAUUACUUUUAAAGAGAAAUGCUCAAUUCUUCUAGAUGAUUCUGCUGACAGUUGGAGUUUCAACCUGGAUGGCGAAACCUCAACUUCGAAGUACAUUGCAUCUCUAGAACAGGAGAAUGAGUCGCUUAAAGCUAAAAUAUCUAAGCUGCAAAGCAAUCUAAGAAUGAGUUUCGAAAUUGAACAGCACUUGCAAAGAAAUGUACGAACACUGGAAAAGAAACAGGCACUCAAUGAUGAUCUUAUGAGAGAUGGUCUGUCAGCUCUUCAAAAAGUCUAUACACAUCAAAGGGCUGAAAUUAUGAAAAUAUUGGGAGAAGAAUCACUUCUGUUAAGCACGGCUGUUAAUGAGAUUCAAGACAAGUUAACUCAAAUUUGCAUCAAUGCUGAGAUCAUUGGUAACCCUGUUGAGAAGAUGCAAUGCUGUGACAGUAGUUGUAAAGACGUGCAUGUUACUAUGGAUAUUGGCCUUGAAACCAUCCCCAAGGGUGAUGUUCCUACAGGUUAUUCUACAACAUUUGAUGAUUCAAAAGCACUUGCUCAAACUUUGCAGGAGAAGAUGGAGGCGCUUAUGCUUUUCUCACAGGAACAAGAAAGAUACCUGUUGGAAAAACAGAAGAACCAAGCUAUUAUAGAGGACCUUCAGAAGAACUUAUCUCAAGUUAAAGAUGAAAAGGUGAAGGUCCUGAUGGAGUUAGCAAAACUGAAAGAAGCUUAUCUCCUGAAAUGCAGCUCUACUGCAAAUGAUGGUCAUGGUAUUGUUGAUACUCCAAAAAUCAUUUCUGGGCAUGACCAACAAGGGAUGCUGAAGACUAUUCUUAACAGAACAUCUCUAAGACAAUGGAUAAAAAAGGAAAAUAAUACUGGGCAUGAGAGCUCUCGUGGAAAUGAUCAGACAGUUUGUAGAGGGUGCUCAGUAGAUCUAUCAAGGAUGAAAGUUGAAAAUGCUACCCUUUUGGAAAGUGUUGCUACUAUGGAACGUCUCACUUCUUUGGUUCAUAGGCUGCACAGAGUGCUUAUGAAGGUAUAUGAUGAUGUCAAAUCCGGCUGUUCUUUGGAGAGUAGUUAUGAAGCACUGAACAGUCUUAUAACAGAAGCAAACCUUAUGAGAACGGCUCUGGGCGUCGUUCUCCCAGUAAGCUGGCCAGGGGAUUCAUCAGGUGGUAUCACUUCAGACUCGCCUAAAUCAUCAAAAUCCGAAAAGGCGGACCCCCUUGGUUCCGCUAGCAUGGAGAUGUUGGAGCUACUUAGCUGCGGAUAUCCUCAGAGAGAGCUUUAUGUUCAAGAAAUGAUUAAAGAUUCAGAAGCAUGUAUACAAUUUAAUCUUGAGAGAGAAUUGUCGCUUGAGUUGAUUUCUUACUGUGUACUGCUACUCUGA